RNAcentral lists this small RNA (473 nucleotides) under Pongo abelii (Sumatran orangutan). RNAcentral describes it as "processed transcript". The record is from RNAcentral. Lineage: Eukaryota; Metazoa; Chordata; Mammalia; Primates; Hominidae.
GCAGGACACCAUCAAUGAGUUCGGCGGCACACCAGAAGAGAACCGCAUCACCAUUGCCAACGUGGACUUGGUCCUGAGCAAGGGCAAUGUAGACGUGGCGCUGAACAUGCUAAGGAACAUCUCACCCAAGCAGUCCUGCUAUAUGGAAGCCAGAGAGAAGAUGGCCAACAUCUACCUGCAAACCCUCAGAGACAGGCGCCUCUACAUCAGAUGCUACCGUGAGCUCUGUGAACAUCUGUGUGGCCCCCACACCAGCCUGCUACUGGGCGAUGCUUUAAUGAGCAUUCUGGAGCCCGAGAAGGCCCUGGAGGUCUAUGAUGAGGCCUAUAGACAGAACCCGCAUGACGCCUCCCUGGCCAGCAGAAUUGGGCAAGCUUAUGUGAAGGCCCACCAGUAUACUGAGGUCAGGCUGGGCUGGGGUGUGAAGGGGCAGGGAGGGCCAGCCCAGCAGGGAGGGUGGAGGACAGUACAUG